AACGAACGCUGGCGGCAUGCCUAACACAUGCAAGUCGAACGGGACCUUCGUGCCUAGUGGCGCACGUGUGCGUAACGCGUGGGAACCUGCCCUUAGGUUCGGAAUAACUCCCCGUAAGGUGUGCUAAUACCGGUUAAUGUCAUCGGACCAAAGAUUUAUCGCCUUUGGAUGGGCCCGCGUUGGAUUAGCCGGUUGGUAGGGUACAAGCCUACCAAGGCGACGAUGCAUAGCUGGUCUGAGAGGAUGAUCAGCCACACUGGGACUGAGACACGGCCCAGACUCGUACGGGAGGCAGCAGUGGGGAAUAUUGGACGAUGGGCGAAAGCCUGAUCCAGCCAUGCCGCGUGAGUGAUGAAGGCCUUAGGGUUGUAAAGCUCUUUUACCCGGGAUGAUAAUGACAGUACCGGGAGAAUAAGCUCCGGCUAACUCCGUG
This 433-nucleotide ribosomal RNA is filed under the name uncultured bacterium. Its description in RNAcentral is "partial 16S ribosomal RNA". It matches the Rfam family "Bacterial small subunit ribosomal RNA", at positions 29 to 507 of the family's 1533-position model. The record is from RNAcentral.